Molecule: ribosomal RNA, 426 nt
Filed under: uncultured bacterium
Lineage: Bacteria
Description: bacterial SSU rRNA
Rfam family: Bacterial small subunit ribosomal RNA
Source: RNAcentral
UGAGGAAUUUUCGUCAAUGGGCGAAACCCUGAACGAGCAACGCCGCGUGCAGGACGACGGCCUUCGGGUUGUAAACUGCUUUUCUCUGGGAAGAGUGAGGACGGUACCAGAGGAAGAAGCCCCGGCUAACUACGUGCCAGCAGCCGCGGUAAUACGUAGGGGGCGAGCGUUGUCCGGAGUUACUGGGCGUAAAGGGCGUGCAGGCGGUCUUGUAAGUUCGGAGUGACAGUUCCCGGCUCAACUGGGAAAGGCCUGCCGAAAACUGCGAGACUUGAGGGCCAGAGAGGGACAUAGAAUUCCGGGUGGAGUGGUGAAAUGCGUAGAUAUCCGGAGGAAUACCAAAGGCGAAGGCAGUGUCCUGGCUGGCAUCUGACGCUGAGGCGCGAAAGCUAGGGGAGCGAACAGGAUUAGAUACCCCCGUAGUCC